RNAcentral lists this ribosomal RNA (442 nucleotides) under uncultured bacterium. Its description in RNAcentral is "partial 16S ribosomal RNA". It matches the Rfam family "Bacterial small subunit ribosomal RNA", at positions 338 to 794 of the family's 1533-position model. The record is from RNAcentral.
CCUACGGGAGGCAGCAGUGGGGAAUAUUGGGCAAUGGGCGCAAGCCUGACCCAGCAACGCCGCGUGAAGGAAGAAGGCUUUCGGGUUGUAAACUUCUUUUAUCAGGGACGAAGCAAGUGACGGUACCUGAUGAAUAAGCCACGGCUAACUACGUGCCAGCAGCCGUGGUACUACGUAGGUGGCAAGCGUUAUCCGGAUUUACUGGGUGAAAGGGGCGUGUAGGCGGGAGUGCAAGUCAGAUGUGAAAACUAUGGGCUCAACCCAUAGCCUGCAUUUGAAACUUUACUUCGUGUGUGCUGGAGAGGCAGUCGGAAUCCCGUGUGUAGCGGUGAAAUGCGUAGAUAUACGAAGGAACACCAGUGGCGAAGGUGGAUUGCUGGACAGUAACUGACGCUGAGGCGCGAAAGCGUGGGGAGCAAACAGGAUUGGAUACCCGAGUAGU